UGCCAGCCGCCGCGGUAAUACGGAGGGUGCAAGCGUUGUUCGGAAUUAUUGGGCGUAAAGCGUGUGUAGGCGGUUCGUUAAGUCUGAUGUGAAAGCCCGGGGCUCAACCCCGGAAGUGCAUUGGAAACUGGCGAACUUGAGUACGGGAGAGGAAAGUGGAAUUCCGAGUGUAGGGGUGAAAUCCGUAGAUAUUCGGAGGAACACCAGUGGCGAAGGCGGCUUACUGGACCAAUACUGACACUGAGGAUCGAAAGCGUGGGUAGCAAACAGGAUUAGAUA
Molecule: ribosomal RNA, 279 nt
Filed under: uncultured bacterium
Lineage: Bacteria
Description: partial 16S ribosomal RNA
Rfam family: Bacterial small subunit ribosomal RNA
Source: RNAcentral